AGAACGCAUCACAGGAGAGGGACAGAAAGAGACUAGAAAGAAAGAAAGGUCGCUGAGGAGGUAGCAGUAGCAGUGGAAGGGGCAUGCAGAGGAGAGGAGGGAAGGCGAAAGAAAUCCUAUCUCCUGUGCCUGCCCCUCCCACCCCUGCUGUUACGACUCGCUUCUGCCGGUCACGGCAAUUCCUCCUCGACAUCUUAUCGACGAACGCUUAUAGCGAAGGUAAGGGGGAAGGGGGAGAAAGAGGUCGAUUGCCAUCUUGGAAUCGCUCCUCGCUCCUGGAUCUGAAUCUGGAUUUUGGCCUUACGAACGAACAGGUAGCAAUCUGAAUUUGGGUUUCAUAGCAGGAGUUGCGUGUAGGAUUCUUGAAGCGAAGACCUCGAUUGCCAUCUUUUUACCGUCCCAGCGGUUAAUGAUUUGUGUGGACAACCAAAACAGUGGGAGUCAGCUGCACGUUUGCUGUUCCCGGAGAAGCAAGCAUAUUUGGUAAUCUUAAUUGAUCUCUCUCUCUGUGUGUGUGUGUGUGUGUUGUGAGCAUUAUUAUGUUGCAACUUCUUGCUUAUUGGUCAGUGUGUGUCUCUCCACCAAACACCAGUUGCUUAUUUUGCAACUUGGUUGAGAAAUAUUACAUUUUAUGGAGAUGUGCAUUGUUUGUGUCUAUCGCUAAGGCAAGUGUGGGGCAAAUUUGAAACAAAAAUAUGGCAGCAUUUUGUCUUGGUU
Long non-coding RNA from Musa acuminata subsp. malaccensis (wild Malaysian banana), 717 nucleotides. RefSeq lists it as uncharacterized. The record is from RefSeq and is a predicted model, not a curated record. Lineage: Eukaryota; Viridiplantae; Streptophyta; Magnoliopsida; Zingiberales; Musaceae.